GACGAACGCUGGCGGCGUGCUUAACACAUGCAAGUCGAACGCUGAAGCUUGGUGCUUGCACUGGGUGGAUGAGUGGCGAACGGGUGAGUAAUACGUGAGUAACCUGCCCUUGACUCUGGGAUAAGCCUGGGAAACUGGGUCUAAUACUGGAUACGACAUGCCACUGCAUGGUGGUGUGUGGAAAGGGUUUUACUGGUUUUGGAUGGGCUCACGGCCUAUCAGCUUGUUGGUGGGGUAAUGGCAUACCAAAGCGACGACGGGUAGCCGGCCUGAGAGGGUGACCGGCCACACUGGGACUGGGACGCGGCACAGCCUCCAACGGGAGGCAGCGGUGGGGAAUGUUACACAAGGGGCGGAGGCAUGAUGCAGCGACGCCGCGUGGGGGAUGACGGCCUUCGGGUUGUAAACCUCUUUCAGCACGGAAGAAGCGAGAGUGACGGUACGUGCAGAAGAAGCGCCGGCUAACUACGUG
Molecule: ribosomal RNA, 472 nt
Filed under: uncultured bacterium
Lineage: Bacteria
Description: partial 16S ribosomal RNA
Rfam family: Bacterial small subunit ribosomal RNA
Source: RNAcentral